UAGCCGUAAACGAUACUCACUAGGUGUCGGCCACGGUGCGACCGUUGUCGGUGCCGUAGGGAAGCCGUGAAGCGAGCCACCUGGGAAGUACGGCCGCAAGGCUGAAACUUAAAGGAAUUGGCGGGGGAGCACAACAACGGGUGGAGCUUGCGGUUUAAUUGGAUUCAACGCCGGAAAUCUUACCGGGACCGACAGCAACAUGAAGGCCAAGCUGAAGACUUUGCCGGAUUAGCUGAGAGGUGGUGCAUGGCGUAGACGUCU
RNAcentral lists this ribosomal RNA (261 nucleotides) under uncultured archaeon. RNAcentral describes it as "partial 16S ribosomal RNA". It matches the Rfam family "Archaeal small subunit ribosomal RNA", at positions 748 to 1009 of the family's 1478-position model. The record is from RNAcentral.